UAUCGCUGCCCUCCUUGGGCGUUUCCUCCCUAGACUUGGACCGCUUGCUAUCGCAAGCGGUCCUUUUUUCUUGUCGGA
Tardiphaga sp. is the source of this 78-nucleotide small RNA. It matches the Rfam family "Makes More Granules Regulator RNA (mmgR)". Rfam says of the family: SuhB later renamed mmgR (makes more granules regulator) was a putative non-coding RNA found multiple times in the Agrobacterium tumefaciens genome and related alpha-proteobacteria. Other non-coding RNAs uncovered in the same analysis include: speF, ybhL, metA, and serC. The record is from Rfam. Lineage: Bacteria; Pseudomonadati; Pseudomonadota; Alphaproteobacteria; Hyphomicrobiales; Nitrobacteraceae.